Molecule: ribosomal RNA, 600 nt
Filed under: Triticum aestivum (bread wheat)
Lineage: Eukaryota; Viridiplantae; Streptophyta; Magnoliopsida; Poales; Poaceae
Description: partial small subunit ribosomal RNA
Source: RNAcentral
AUGACAGAUGCAAUAGCAAAGUACUGGUGGGGUGAUGAUGACAACCACAAGCGUAUACAUUGGGCAGCAUGGUGGAAACUUUGUGUGCCUAAGGAUAGAGGAGGACUGGGGUUCAGGGAUUUACAUAGCUUUAACCUUGCUCUACUUGCCAAACAAGUGUAGAGGUUGCUGGAAAACCCGGACUCUCUUUGUGCACAUAUUUUGAGGGCCAAAUAUUAUCCGGAUAAAAAAUUAUUAGAUGCUAAAUUGAAGAGUGGGAGCUCGUAUACGUGGCAGAGUAUUUGUGUUGGGAUUAACACGUUCAGGAGAGGCACCAUAUGGCGCAUAGGAGAUGGUUCACAAGUGAAUAUCUGGUCUGACCCGUGGAUUCAGUCUAGUGCUAAUGGACAUGUCAUUACACCAGGAGGUACAACUCUACUAUCUAAGGUUUCUGAUCUGAUUGAUCCUGUCACCGGUCUAUGGGAUCACGAGCUGAUAAAUAGUGUGUUCUGGCCGGUGGAUGACCACCGAAUCUUGUUAAUCCCUCUGGCACUGAAUGGAAUGAUGGAAGACUUUGUGGCUUGGAGAUUUACAAAGAACCAUAUCUUUUCGGUAAGAUCA